ACAGUGGCAUGUCAGCAGGAGGAAGAUAGGCGAAGCCAGGAUGAAUGCCCAGCUGUCCACAGGAAGCAAAUCAUCAUUUGAUGUGUUCCAAAGGAAGACCCAGAGAAAAGACACCAUUCCUACAAAGGCUGUGGCAGCCUGAACAGGCCAACACAGGAUAAAGCACUUUCUCACCAGCUGGGAAAGUAGCCAUGCGCUCUGCAUUCAAUAAUUCAAAAACCCUUCUUGAAAGUCUAUGUGGGAGCUGCCGUAGUGGCACAGCAGAAUGACUCAGAGUGGACGUCUUAUCAGACUGAAUCUUUAACACCACUUUACAAAUACAUUGUCCCAUUGUCCAGACUGAGUUUCUAUUCUCUGCAAUGGGUACUAUAUAUUCUAUCUGGUCACCAACAGGCAAGUUCCUGGAGACUGUAGCUGAUGGACUUCAGGAAGAGUUGGGGAACACAGACUGAUGCUAUG
Molecule: long non-coding RNA, 459 nt
Organism: Lepus europaeus (European hare)
Lineage: Eukaryota; Metazoa; Chordata; Mammalia; Lagomorpha; Leporidae
Exons: 3
Source: RefSeq, a predicted model, not a curated record